UGAUCCUGCCAGAGUUCAUAUGCUUGUCUCAAAGAUUAAGCCAUGCAUGUCUCAGUGUAAAGCACUAGAAUUGCGAAACUGCGAAUGGCUCAUUAUAUCAGUUAUAAUUUACUUGAUCGUGGUUUGCACAUGGAUAACUGUGCCAACUGUAGAGCUAAUACAUGCCUCAAAUCCCGCGUGAGGGAUGCAUUUAUUAGAUCAAAACCUUCCCGGGUAAAACCGGUGUUGAUGAAUCAUAAUAACUUGGCGAAUCGCAUGGUCUUUUGGCCGGCGAUGCAUCAUUCAAAUAUCUGCCCUAUCAGCUCUCGAUGGUAGUGUAUUGGACUACCAUGGCGUUAACGGGUAACGGAGAAUUAGGGUUCGAUUCCGGAGAGGGAGCCUGAGAAACGGCUACCACAUCUAAGGAAGGCAGCAGGCGCGUAAAUUACCCAAUCCUGACUCAGGGAGGUAGUGACAAGAAAUGACAACGUAGGGCUCUCAACGUCUUGCGAUUGUAAUGGGUCUAAUCUAAAACCCUUAAUGAGGAACAACUGGAGGGCAAGUC
This 544-nucleotide ribosomal RNA is filed under the name uncultured eukaryote. Its description in RNAcentral is "bacterial SSU rRNA". It matches the Rfam family "Eukaryotic small subunit ribosomal RNA", at positions 9 to 561 of the family's 1831-position model. The record is from RNAcentral.